Molecule: ribosomal RNA, 936 nt
Filed under: Triticum aestivum (bread wheat)
Lineage: Eukaryota; Viridiplantae; Streptophyta; Magnoliopsida; Poales; Poaceae
Description: partial small subunit ribosomal RNA
Source: RNAcentral
AUGGUAGAUGUGAAGUUUGAUGAAUCUAAUGGCUCGCAAGUAGAGCAAUUGCCAAUCGAUGUAGGAGACAAAGACCCUUUAGAAGCAAUCCAAGACUUGUCUAUUGGCAAAAUUCGUCCAACGGAGGUGAAGGAGAGUACCUCGUCCGUCCAAGUGGAAGCAUCCACAAGUGGGACACACCAACAUGAAGAAGACAAGGAAAUGCAUCAAGACGAACAUCAACAACCUCCUUCUCCACCACGACAAGAGAACGACAACGUCAACAAUGAAGAAGGCCAAGAUGAAGAAGAUGUUCAACAAAGACCCAAGCAAAAGCUCUCACGAGUUCGAGCAAGAAUUGCCAAAGAUCAUCCCGUCGAGCAAAUCUUCAAUGAUAUACAAACCGGGAGAAUCACUCGCUCAAAAACUCGUUCAGCUAACUUUUGUGAAAACUAUUCAUUCAUCUCUAGCAUUGAACCUAUGAAGGUUGAAGAAGCAUUGGAAGAUCCAGAUUGGAUAAACGCUAUGCAUGAAGAGCUACACAACUUUGAGAGAAACCAAGUUUGGACAUUGGUUGAGAAGCCCGACAACAACCACAACAUCAUUGGUACCAAAUGGGUGUUUCGCAACAAGAAAGAUGAAGAUGGACAAUUGGUUCGCAACAAAGCACGUCUCGUCGCCCAAGGGUACACACAAGUCGAAGGUAUGGACUAUGGUGAGACAUAUGCUCCCGUUGCUAGACUUGAGUCCAUUCGCAUCUUACUUGCCUAUGCUAAUCACCAUAAUAUCACCUUGUACCAAAUGGACAUUAAAAGUGCUUUUAUAAAUGGUGAAAUAGAAGAGGAAGUUUAUGUCAAACAACCUCCCAGCUUUAUCAAUCCUAAGAAACCAAAUCAUGUUUACAAACUUCACAAAGCUCUUUAUGGUCCGCUCCUAGAGCAUGAUAUAAAUGCUUGA